CCUACGGGAGGCAGCAGUGGGGAAUAUUGGACAAUGGGCGAAAGCCUGAUCCAGCAAUGCCGCGUGAGUGAUGAAGGCCUUCGGGUCGUAAAGCUCUUUUACCAGGGAUGAUAAUGACAGUACCUGGAGAAUAAGCUCCGGCUAACUCCGUGCCAGCAGCCGCGGUAAUACGGAGGGAGCUAGCGUUGUUCGGAAUUACUGGGCGUAAAGAGUACGUAGGCGGUUAUUCAAGUCAGAGGUGAAAGCCCGGGGCUCAACCCCGGAACUGCCUUUGAAACUAGAUAACUAGAGUCUUGGAGAGGUUAGUGGAAUUCCGAGUGUAGAGGUGAAAUUCGUAGAUAUUCGGAAGAACACCAGUGGCGAAGGCGACUAGCUGGACAAGUACUGACGCUGAGGUACGAAAGCGUGGGGAGCAAACAGGAUUAGAUACCCUGGUAGUCCACGCCGUAAACGAGGAUAACUAGUUGUUCGGUCACUUGGUGACUGAGUGACGCAGCUAACGCAUUAAGUUAUCCGCCUGGGGAGUACGGUCGCAAGAUUAAAACUUAAAUGAAUUGACGG
This 561-nucleotide ribosomal RNA is filed under the name uncultured bacterium. Its description in RNAcentral is "bacterial SSU rRNA". It matches the Rfam family "Bacterial small subunit ribosomal RNA", at positions 338 to 916 of the family's 1533-position model. The record is from RNAcentral.